UACGUAGGUGGCAAGCGUUAUCCGGAAUUAUUGGGCGUAAAGAGCGCGCAGGUGGUUAAUUAAGUCUGAUGUGAAAGCCCACGGCUUAACCGUGGAGGGUCAUUGGAAACUGGUUGACUUGAGUGCAGAAGAGGGAAGUGGAAUUCCAUGUGUAGCGGUGAAACGCGUAGAGAUAUGGAGGAACACCAGUGGCGAAGGCGGCUUCCUGGUCUGCAACUGACACUGAGGCGCGAAAGCGUGGGGAGCAAACAGG
This 253-nucleotide ribosomal RNA is filed under the name uncultured bacterium. RNAcentral's name for it is "partial 16S ribosomal RNA". It matches the Rfam family "Bacterial small subunit ribosomal RNA", at positions 524 to 776 of the family's 1533-position model. The record is from RNAcentral.